Long non-coding RNA from Rhineura floridana, 588 nucleotides. RefSeq lists it as uncharacterized. The transcript has 5 exons. Lineage: Eukaryota; Metazoa; Chordata; Lepidosauria; Squamata; Rhineuridae. The record is from RefSeq and is a predicted model, not a curated record.
UGCCAGCAUUUCCUGGCCCGCCUACCUUCUUCCUCUUUCAUUACCUUCAGGUGUUUGGUUGUGGGUAAGCCUCGGUCGUUCCUGAGAUCGAAUCCACUGGCAGGAAAAAUGGAUGGUCACCGCUUGAGGCCUCUCAUCAAAGCAGUGCUGUGUCCUCUUGGAAUGCGCUCAUCUGGGUAAAAAUCAAAACUUUAUGUUCUCCAUAUAUUUAGAAUAUGGGUUUGGAGGAGGGUGAACACCACAUACUUCUGAAGAGUUCUAUAAAGUGAACAGCUGCAAUGCAAGGUGGACUGAACAAAUUCUGAAAACUACUAGGAUAUCAGAACUCAAGACUUUGGUCUCUUUGGUGACAGUGAGAAAAAGGGCUGAUGAUUCUGAAGAGACGAGACAACAGUUUGGCGUGUUCUCCAUUCCCUAGAAAAUGUAUGUUGGAGAUGAGCUUUAAAAGGAGAACACCCUGUUUCACUCUGGAAGAAAAGUUGUAUAGAAGAUGGAGGAAUUUGCCAUAACAUCUCAGAACAAGAUAGUGGAUCCUUAAUCUCUGAGAAGUGUGUAACCACACACAAUAAAACUUUUGUGUGAAUAAAA